AUUGAACGCUGGCGGCAUGCCUUAUACAUGCAAGUCGAACGGCAGCACGGGAGCAAUCCUGGUGGCGAGUGGCGAACGGGUGAGUAAUAUAUCGGAACGUGCCCAGUAGUGGGGGAUAGCCCGGCGAAAGCCGGAUUAAUACCGCAUACGCACUGAGGGUGAAAGCGGGGGAUCGCAAGACCUCGCGCUAUUGGAGCGGCCGAUAUCAGAUUAGCUUGUUGGUGGGGUAAAAGCCUACCAAGGCGACGAUCUGUAGCUGGUCUGAGAAGACGAUCCACGAGACAGGGACUGAGACACGGACAAGACUCCAACGGGAGGAAGCAGUGGGGAAUUUUGGACAAAGGGCGCAAGCCUGAUCCAGCCAUGCCGCGUACGGGAGGAAGGCCUUCGGGUUGUGAACCGCUUUUGUCAGGGAAGAAACGGCUCUUGAUAAUACCAAGAGCUAAUGACGGUACCUGAAGAAUAAGCACCGGCUAACUACGUGCCAGCAGCCGCAGUAA
This 500-nucleotide ribosomal RNA is filed under the name uncultured bacterium. RNAcentral's name for it is "partial 16S ribosomal RNA". It matches the Rfam family "Bacterial small subunit ribosomal RNA", at positions 29 to 523 of the family's 1533-position model. The record is from RNAcentral.